Molecule: small RNA, 513 nt
Filed under: Atta cephalotes
Lineage: Eukaryota; Metazoa; Arthropoda; Insecta; Hymenoptera; Formicidae
Description: sRNA LOC105627591
Source: RNAcentral
GGGAAACAUUCCAUUUUGACGAAAAUCCGGAAAGAUUUUUUUCUUCUAUUGUGUCCUUCCUUGAUUUUAUUGAAGAUAUGCCAUGCGACAAGAAAGAAGAAUUUAAAAAAGAAUUUGCGGAUAAAUAUGCAGAAACACAAAUUGUCUGUAAACAAAAAAAUAAUCAGAUAUUAGACGUGUACCGGAUAUUAGUGGUUUUUGCUCAAAAAUGUAUGCCAUGAAUGUGCACACAUUGUUCAUUUUAAAUGAAAUAAUAAUUUUAAUUAUAUAUUAUAUUUAAUUUAAUUUUCCGAUAAAAUUAUCCAUGAAUAAAAUAAAAAAAAUGUAUUGUAUUAGAGGUUUACAUGUAUUAAAAGUUGCACAACAACGUAUGCCAUAAUUAUGUGUACAUAUUGUUUUGAAUAAAUAUUAUUGUAAUUAAACAAAUGAAUUUAUGUAACAUAUAAUGAAAUUAUGUCAGAUUAUCAAUUGUCUAAACGUUUGAUUAAAAAAUUUAACAUUGUGUUACUGAAA